CCUACGGGUGGCAGCAGUGAGGAAUAUUGGUCAAUGGCCGGAAGGCUGAACCAGCCAAGCCGCGUGAGGGAGGAAGGCGCAGAGCGUCGCAGACCUCUUUUGCCGGGGGACAAAAGGCCGGACUCGUCCGGUCCUGAGUGUACCCGGAGAAAAAGCAUCGGCUAACUCCGUGCCAGCAGCCGCGGUAAUACGGAGGAUGCGAGCGUUAUCCGGAUUCAUUGGGUUUAAAGGGUGCGCAGGCGGGCUUUUAAGCCGGGGGUGAAAUCGCGGGGCUCAACCCCGCCGAGCCGUUGGAACUGGGAGCCUUGAGUGUGUGGGAGGCAUGCGGAAUGCGCGGUGUAGCGGUGAAAUGCUUAGAUAUCGCGCAGAACCCCGAUUGCGAAGGCAGCCUGCCGUGCCGCGACUGACGCUGAGGCACGAAAGCGUGGGGAUCGAACAGGAUUAGAUACCCGUGUAGUC
This 459-nucleotide ribosomal RNA is filed under the name uncultured bacterium. RNAcentral describes it as "partial 16S ribosomal RNA". It matches the Rfam family "Bacterial small subunit ribosomal RNA", at positions 338 to 795 of the family's 1533-position model. The record is from RNAcentral.